Molecule: ribosomal RNA, 468 nt
Filed under: uncultured bacterium
Lineage: Bacteria
Description: partial 16S ribosomal RNA
Rfam family: Bacterial small subunit ribosomal RNA
Source: RNAcentral
GACGAACGCUGGCGGCGGGCUUAACACAUGCAAGUCGAACGGAAAGGCCCUGCUUUUGUGGGGUGCUCGAGUGGCGAACGGGUGAGUAACACGUGAGUAACCUGCCCUUGACUUUGGGAUAACUUCAGGAAACUGGGGCUAAUACCGGAUAGGAGCUCCUGCUGCAUGGUGGGGGUUGGAAAGUUUCGGCGGUUGGGGAUGGACUCGCGGCUUACCAGCUUGUUGGUGGGGUAGUGGCUUACCAAGGCUUGGACGGGUAGCCGGCCUGAGAGGGUGACCGGCGACAUUGGGACUGAGGGACGGCCCAGACGCGUACGGGAGGCAGCAGUGGGGAAUAUUGCACAAUGGGCGGAAGCCUGAUGCAGCAGCGCCGCGUGCGGGAUGACGGCCUUCGGGGUGUAAACCGCUUUCGCCUGUGACGAAGCGUGAGUGACGGUAAUGGGUAAAGAAGCACCGGCUAACUACGUG